AGAGUCUUCGGACUUUGAGACCGGCGCACGGGUGCGUAACGCGUAUGCAAUCUACCUUUUACAGAGGGAUAGCCCAGAGAAAUUUGGAUUAAUACCUCAUAGUAUAAUGACUCGGCAUCGAGAUAUUAUUAAAGUCACAACGGUAAAAGAUGAGCAUGCGUCCCAUUAGCUAGUUGGUAAGGUAACGGCUUACCAAGGCUACGAUGGGUAGGGGUCCUGAGAGGGAGAUCCCCCACACUGGUACUGAGACACGGACCAGACUCCUACGGGAGGCAGCAGUGAGGAAUAUUGGACAAUGGGCGCAAGCCUGAUCCAGCCAUGCCGCGUGCAGGAUGACGGUCCUAUGGAUUGUAAACUGCUUUUAUACGAGAAGAAACACUCCAACGUGUUGGAGCUUGACGGUAUCGUAAGAAUAAGGAUCGGCUAACUCCGUGCCAGCAGCCGCGGUAAUACGGAGGAUCCAAGCGUUAUCCGGAAUCAUUGGGUUUAAAGGGUCCGUAGGCGGUUUAAUAAGUCAGUGGUGAAAGCCCAUCGCUCAACGGUGGAACGGCCAUUGAUACUGUUAAACUUGAAUUAUUAGGAAGUAACUAGAAUAUGUAGUGUAGCGGUGAAAUGCUUAGAGAUUACAUGGAAUACCAAUUGCGAAGGCAGGUUACUACUAAUGGAUUGACGCUGAUGGACGAAAGCGUGGGUAGCGAACAGGAUUAGAUACCCUGGUAGUCCACGCCGUAAACGAUGGAUACUAGCUGUUGGAAGCAAUUUCAGUGGCUAAGCGAAAGUGAUAAGUAUCCCACCUGGGGAGUACGUUCGCAAGAAUGAAACUCAAAAGAAUUGACGGGGGCCCGCACAAGCG
RNAcentral lists this ribosomal RNA (853 nucleotides) under uncultured bacterium. Its description in RNAcentral is "bacterial SSU rRNA". It matches the Rfam family "Bacterial small subunit ribosomal RNA", at positions 73 to 931 of the family's 1533-position model. The record is from RNAcentral.